This 301-nucleotide ribosomal RNA is filed under the name uncultured bacterium. Its description in RNAcentral is "partial 16S ribosomal RNA". It matches the Rfam family "Bacterial small subunit ribosomal RNA", at positions 509 to 807 of the family's 1533-position model. The record is from RNAcentral.
CAGCAGCCGCGGGAAUACGUAGGUGGCAAGCGUUAUCCGGAAUUAUUGGGCGUAAAGCGCGCGUAGGCGGUUUUUUAAGUCUGAUGUGAAAGCCCACGGCUCAACCGUGGAGGGUUAUUGGAAACUGGAAAACUUGAGUGCAGAAGAGGAAAGUGGAAUUCCAUGUGUAGCGGUGAAAUGCGCAGAGAUAUGGAGGAACACCAGUGGCGAAGGCGGCUUUCUGGUCUGCAACUGACGCUGAUGUGCGAAAGCGUGGGGAUCAAACAGGAUUAGAUACCCCCGUAGUCCCUGUCUCUUAUAC